This 73-nucleotide small RNA is filed under the name Sphingomonas sp. BK069. Its description in RNAcentral is "suhB". It matches the Rfam family "Makes More Granules Regulator RNA (mmgR)". Rfam says of the family: SuhB later renamed mmgR (makes more granules regulator) was a putative non-coding RNA found multiple times in the Agrobacterium tumefaciens genome and related alpha-proteobacteria. The record is from RNAcentral. Lineage: Bacteria; Pseudomonadati; Pseudomonadota; Alphaproteobacteria; Sphingomonadales; Sphingomonadaceae. RNAcentral also lists the same sequence under 1 other name.
AAGCCGUGCCUUUCAGGCAUCCUCUCCUAAAAACUUUUCGGCCGGGCUCUGCCCGGCCUUUUUUUUGGACCGC